GACGAAGGAUCCAAGCGUUAUCCGGAUUUAUUGGGUUUAAAGGGUGCGUAGGAGGGCAGGUAAGUCAGUGGUGAAAUCUUCGAGCUUAACUCGGAAACUGCCGUUGAUACUAUCUGUCUUGAAUACCGUGGAGGUGAGCGGAAUAUGUCAUGUAGCGGUGAAAUGCUUAGAUAUGACAUAGAACACCAAUUGCGAAGGCAGCUCGCUACACGAAUAUUGACUCUGAGGCACGAAAGCGUGGGGAUCAAACAGG
RNAcentral lists this ribosomal RNA (253 nucleotides) under uncultured bacterium. Its description in RNAcentral is "partial 16S ribosomal RNA". It matches the Rfam family "Bacterial small subunit ribosomal RNA", at positions 524 to 776 of the family's 1533-position model. The record is from RNAcentral.